Molecule: ribosomal RNA, 375 nt
Filed under: uncultured prokaryote
Description: bacterial SSU rRNA
Rfam family: Bacterial small subunit ribosomal RNA
Source: RNAcentral
UACAGAGGUCUCAAGCGUUGUUCGGAUUCAUUGGGCGUAAAGGGUGCGUAGGUGGCGUGGAAAGUUGAGUGUGAAAUCCUAGGGCUUAACCUUAGAACUGCACUCAAUACUCCCAUGCUAGAGGAAUGUAGAGGAGAGUGGAAUUCACGGUGUAGCAGUGAAAUGCGUAGAUAUCGUGAGGAAGACCAGUUGCGAAGGCGACUCUCUGGGCAUCUCCUGACACUGAGGCACGAAGGCUAGGGGAGCAAACGGGAUUAGAUACCCCGGUAGUCCUAGCAGUAAACGGUGCACGUUUGGUGUGGGCAGGCUCAGACCCUGUCCGUGCCGGAGCUAACGCGUUAAACGUGCCGCCUGGGAAGUACGGUCGCAAGAUUA